AGGGUUCGAUUCUGGCUCAGGAUGAACGCUAGCGGCAGGCCUAACACAUGCAAGUCGCGGGGCAGCACGGGUAGCAAUACCUGGUGGCGACCGGCGCACAGGUGCGUAACGCGUAUGCAACCUGCCCCCAUCAGGGGAAUAGCCCGCCGAAAGGCGGAUUAAUGCCCCAUAGGCCCAGGGCGCCGCAUGGCGCUAUGGGUAAAGCUCCGGCGGAUGGGGAUGGGCAUGCGUGCCAUUAGCUAGUUGGGGCGGUAACGGCGCACCAAGGCGACGAUGGCUAGGGGUCGUGAGAGGAUGGUCCCCCACCACUGGUACUGAGACACGGACCAGACUCCUACGGGAGGCAGCAGCUAAGAAUCUUCCGCAAUGGGCGAAAGCCUGACGGAGCGACGCCGCCGUGAACGAAGAAGGCCGUGAGGUUGUAAAGUUCUUUCGGGAGGGGGAACAACCGUGGCAGGGAAUGGCCGCGGGAUGACGUGAAUCCCGGAAUAAGCCCCGGCUAACUACGUGCCAGCAGCAGC
This 521-nucleotide ribosomal RNA is filed under the name uncultured bacterium. RNAcentral's name for it is "bacterial SSU rRNA". It matches the Rfam family "Bacterial small subunit ribosomal RNA", at positions 8 to 518 of the family's 1533-position model. The record is from RNAcentral.